UGCGUAGGCGGACUAAUAAGUCAGUGGUGAAAUCUUUCGGCUCAACCGAGAAACUGCCAUUGAUACUGUUAGUCUUGAGUUCGGUUGAGGUAGGCGGAAUGUGUAAUGUAGCGGUGAAAUGCUUAGAUAUAACACAGAACACCAAUUGCGUAGGCAGCUUACUAGACCGACACUGACGCUGAGGCACGAAAGCGUGGGGAGCGAACAGGAUUAGAUACCCUGGUAGUCC
Molecule: ribosomal RNA, 229 nt
Filed under: uncultured bacterium
Lineage: Bacteria
Description: partial 16S ribosomal RNA
Rfam family: Bacterial small subunit ribosomal RNA
Source: RNAcentral